Molecule: ribosomal RNA, 444 nt
Filed under: uncultured bacterium
Lineage: Bacteria
Description: bacterial SSU rRNA
Rfam family: Bacterial small subunit ribosomal RNA
Source: RNAcentral
CCAGACUCCUACGGGAGGCAGCAGUGGGGAAUAUUGCACAAUGGGGGAAACCCUGAUGCAGCGACGCCGCGUGAGUGAAGAAGUAUUUCGGUAUGUAAAGCUCUGUCAGCAGGGAAGAAAAUGACGGUACCUGACCAAGAAGCCCCGGCUAACUACGUGCCAGCAGCCGCGGUAAUACGUAGUGGGCAAGCGUUAUCCGGAUUUACUGGGUGUAAAGGGAGCGUAGACGGCAGGGCAAGUCUGGAGUGAAAGGCGGGGGAUCAACCCCCGGACUGCUCUGGAAACUGCCAGGCUGGAGUGCAGGAGAGGUAAGUGGAAUUCCUAGGGUAGCGGUGAAAUGCGUAGAUAUUAGGAGGAACACCAGUGGCGAAGGCGGCUUACUGGACUGUAACUGACGUUGAGGCUCGAAAGCGUGGGGAGCAAACAGGAUUAGAUCCCCCUGUA